CCAGACUCCUACGGGAGGCAGCAGUGGGGAAUAUUGCACAAUGGGGGAAACCCUGAUGCAGCGACGCCGCGUGAAGGAAGAAGUAUUUCGGUAUGUAAACUUCUAUCAGCAGGGAAGAAAAUGACGGUACCUGACUAAGAAGCCCCGGCUAACUACGUGCCAGCAGCCGCGGUAAUACGUAGGGGGCAAGCGUUAUCCGGAUUUACUGGGUGUAAAGGGAGCGUAGGCGGUAAUGCAAGUCAGAAGUGAAAGCCCGGGGCUCAACUCCGGGACUGCUUUUGAAACUGUGUUACUAGAUUGCAGGAGAGGUAAGUGGAAUUCCUAGUGUAGCGGUGAAAUGCGUAGAUAUUAGGAGGAACACCGGCGGCGAAGGCGGCCUGCUGGACCGUGACUGACGUUGAGGCUCGAGAGCGUGGGGAGCAAACAGGAUUAGAUACCCGCGUAC
RNAcentral lists this ribosomal RNA (445 nucleotides) under uncultured bacterium. Its description in RNAcentral is "bacterial SSU rRNA". It matches the Rfam family "Bacterial small subunit ribosomal RNA", at positions 331 to 793 of the family's 1533-position model. The record is from RNAcentral.